RNAcentral lists this unclassified non-coding RNA (471 nucleotides) under Hevea brasiliensis (rubber tree). Lineage: Eukaryota; Viridiplantae; Streptophyta; Magnoliopsida; Malpighiales; Euphorbiaceae. The record is from RNAcentral.
UGAGAUAUAUAUAUAUAUAUAUUGAGCAACUGAAAUUGACUAUUGAGGAUUAAGUGUCUGUUUGAUUAAGCAAUUGAAGUUGUCUCUUUACAGCGCUAACUGCAAUAACGGCUAAAUUAAAGAGACCCCAAAACUGAGGCAAGGCUCCAAUUAAUGAGCUGAAGUUAUAAGCAAUAUUUCAUUUGUCAAAUUAACAGCUAAAGUUCUUUACGGCCAGUGACCAGCUUCACUCCCCAAUUCAAAUCCUCACAGUGUCUCAAGUAAGGAAACAGAGAACCAGCAUCAAAUUUCACCUUUGCUUGGCAAUCAUAAGUUGGAGGAAAGUGAAAGCAAGGCUCCAUAGACAAGUCUCUUCUACAAGGUGGAUUUGGGAUAGUUUUAUCAUCUGUCUUGUACAGAAUCCAUGGCUUCAAACCUCCUAGUCCCUGAGCAACAUAGCCAAAAGUAGACCAAGCACUAGUCACCAACACA